CACAAACGGUGGAGCAUGUGGGUUAAUUUGAUGCAACGGGAAGAACCUUACCUAGGUUUGACAUGGACGUGGUACCCGGGGAGAAAGCUUUGGGGACCCGCAAGGGAGCGUUCACAGGUGCUGCAUGGCUGUCGUCAGCUCGUGUCGUGAGAUGUUCGGUUAAGUCCGGCAACAAGCGCAACCCUCGCCUUCAGUUACCAACNAGUAAAGUCGGGGACUCUGGAGGGACUAACCCGUUAGGGUGGGAAGGUGGGGAUGACCUCAAGUCACUAUGGCCCUUACAUCUAGGGCUGCACACGUGCUACAAUGCCUGGUACAAAAGGAACCAAUACCGCNAGGUGGAGGAAAUCCCUAAAGCCAGGCCCAGUUCAGAUUGGAGUCUGCAACUCCACUCCAUGAAGCCGGAAUCGCUAGUAAUGGUAGAUCACGUACGCUACCG
This 439-nucleotide ribosomal RNA is filed under the name uncultured bacterium. RNAcentral describes it as "bacterial SSU rRNA". It matches the Rfam family "Bacterial small subunit ribosomal RNA", at positions 924 to 1362 of the family's 1533-position model. The record is from RNAcentral.